This 492-nucleotide ribosomal RNA is filed under the name uncultured bacterium. RNAcentral's name for it is "partial 16S ribosomal RNA". It matches the Rfam family "Bacterial small subunit ribosomal RNA", at positions 29 to 507 of the family's 1533-position model. The record is from RNAcentral.
AGUGAACGCUGGCGGUAGGCCUAACACAUGCCAGUCGAACGGCAGCACAGUAAGAGCUUGCUCUUACGGGUGGCGAGUGGCGGACGGGUGAGGAAUACAUCGGAAUCUACUUUUUCGUGGGGGAUAACGUAGGGAAACUUACUCUAAUACCGCAUACGACCUACGGGUGAAAGCAGGGGAUCUUCGGACCUUGCGCGAUUGAAUGAGCCGAUGUCGGAUUAGCUAGUUGGCGGGGUAAAGGCCCACCAAGGCGACGAUCCGUAGCUGGUCUGAGAGGAUGAUCAGCCACACUGGAAGUGAGACACGGUCCAGACUCCUGCGGGAGGCAGCAGUGGGGAAUAUUGGACAAUGGGCGCGAGCCUGAUCCAGCCAGACCGCGUGGGUGAAGAAGGCCUUCGGGUUGUAAAGCCCUUUUGUUGGGAAAGAAAAGCAGCAGGUUAAUACCACGCUGUUGUGACGGUACCCAAAGAAUAAGCACCGGCUAACUUCGUG